Brassica napus (rape) is the source of this 4284-nucleotide long non-coding RNA. RefSeq lists it as uncharacterized. NCBI's taxonomy places the organism in Eukaryota, Viridiplantae, Streptophyta, Magnoliopsida, Brassicales, Brassicaceae. The transcript is spliced from 3 exons. The record is from RefSeq and is a predicted model, not a curated record.
GCUGUUUUCAAUCCAAAUGCAUAUGUCUUGAUUAUUUCAGUGUAUGCUGUUUUUAAUAUAACUCGGAUAAGAAGUCAACGUGACAAAAGAAAUAUAAUUUUCGUCACGUGGAGUCAAAACUCUGUUCUUCUCGAUGUGCUAAUAAACAAAGAGCAGAUCCGUUUUCUUUUUAUUUUUUAAAUUGGCUUUCAAAUUUAAAGAGCAAAAGAAAUAAAAAUGUUUACAGACCCACAGACCUUAAUCAUCAACAAUACCCAUUAGUACAAAAGCUCAUAGUUGAGAAACUUCCUAUAGUAGAACCCAAUAAGAAGGCCCAAGAACCCUAAGCCCAUUUGACUGGCCAAGUUGAAGAAUCAAGCGACGGGAGAGUAUUAAGCGACGGAGAUUACGUUGAUGGAGAAGUGGAGAGAGGAGGAUCAAUCACGCAUGACGAAACCAUGAUUGUAACAUAGAGGAGGCAAGCUUUGGAUUGGAUGAUCUGAAACUCUGGAUCCUGUUUCUGAUUUGGCGAUCGAUUAUACGGAAAAGAGAAUCAAUGGACCUGAAAGAGUUAGUGUGCAGCCUAGAGUUGCGCUCAUUCCAUAACCAGUAGAGUUGGAUUGCCAAGCCAGUAGGUUGAAUUGUGUUGCCGCUUUUUUUGAGCAUAAAGGAGAGACAGUUCAUAGCAAUAACAGAUAGAUAGGGAGAGAGAGGGUCACCCUGCCUAAGCCCUCUUCUUCCUUUGAAAUAGCCAUUGACAGUACCAUUAUAUCAAACCAUAAAGCUUGUUGUACAUAUGCAGGCCUUUAGCUGAGAGAGAAAGUGGUGUGGAAUCUGCAUACUGUCCAAGCAAGAGAAAAGGAACUCCCAAGAUAGCAUAUCAAAGGCUUUGGCAAUGUCCACCUUGAUGGUGAUUCUCUUCGGCCCUUUAUUCUUGUGAUACCCAUGUACCAAUUCACUUGCUAAUACUGUAUUUUCAACCAGCAGGCGGUCCUUUACGAAGUUUGUUUGACAUGGAAGGAUGACAUCUUGUAUAAUUGGCUUUAGUCUUGCAACCAGAAGUCUGGAUAUCACCUUGUAGACCGUAUUUAGACAAGAGAUGGGGCAAAAAUCAGAGAUCUUUUUUGCUCCCGAGAAUUUAGGGACCAGCAUAAGAAUUGUUGAGUUAGUAGUGGCUGGUAGGAAAGCUGAAGAGAAGAACUGAGUAAUGCAAGAGACCACUUAUUCUCCAAGAGUUUCCCAUGCUGCUUUAAAGAAGCCAGAGAUUAGUCCAUCAGGUCCUGGGGCUUUGUUUGGAUUUAAUCUGAAGAACAUGCUUUUUAUUUCCUCUGCCUUCGGGAGUGGUAGCAUUUUUGGCAUUGUUGCAGGCUGCAGUGAAACCUAAUUAACUCAUCAAACCAGUUGAAUGAGGAGUACAGCGACGGGGGAGAGUAGUUUGGAGGUCUCAAAAUUGAUUUAAAGUGUUCCACCGCAAGCAUGCUCAUCUCUAUUGGGUCCGUGACCAUCACCCCAGCGUUUGAGAGAAAGGAUCUAAUGGCAUUGUAACUUGCUCUGACUUGACACAUCCGGUGGAAGAAGGAAGAUCCACUUCUCAUGAAGAUCUCUCUCUUCUUGGAAGGUCAAGGUUGAUGGAGUAUUUAGAGCUUGAACCUGCACAAGUUGUAACAAACGGAGUGAGACGGACCAUUGUAGCGCAAAUCAAACAUUCCACAUUGGAGCAAGCAGUCUUGGAACUAAUACAUUAUGUUAUCGGGAACAACAACUGCAGAGGAGGAGUGUUUUGUGGGGUACAUUAUCUGAUUGAAGUCACCCACAAUCAUCCAGUUUCUUGUUCUCGAGAUCCAGAGUAUCGUGAAGAUGUAACAGCUCUGCCCAUAGGUCAUUUCUUUCUGCACUGAGAUUCGAGGCAUACAGUGCAGUAUAGUAGAUAGGUUCUUUGGACGGGAUGGAUAGGAGGCAGGUUAUGGUCUGGCGGCUCUGCCGGAUUACUUGGACAGUAAGAGGGUUUCUCCAUAUCAAGAUAAUCCUACCAUCAGCAUCAGAGGCAUGAUUAGAGCUGAAGUUCCAGCCAUUGCAAAGUUUGGACAUAAGGGAGGGUAAGGAAGUUUCUUUUAUAUGAGUUUCUAAAUUGCACCAAAAAAGAGGUUUAUGGGUAAAAAGCCAAGAAAUAAAAGGCCGAUGCUUAUCCGGGUCAUUUAGGCCGCAGACGUUCCAAAAAAAGAGUUUGAUACACAUGGGAAAAGAGGGAGGGUCUCCACCAUCAGAGAUGGAUUCCCGGGUAAAAAAGAAGUAAUAUUUAGUUGCUUCGUUGGCGAGAGGACAGUUUUUGGAGGAUCGAUGGCUGGUGAAAGAGAAGAGAAUGGAUUUUUUGUGGCAUAAGGGCUUUUGUGGUGAGGGGAGGUUUAGUGUGAGGGGAGAUAUAUUAUAAAAGGAGAGCUGUGGCAGAGGAUGGAUGAAGAGGGGGAAGCAAAAAAGGAUUGGGAUUGGAAGAGAGAGGGGGGGAAAGAGUUGGGGAUGAACGAGAACGUUUAAGGGAAGGCCGGGGGAUGGGAUCAGGAGAGAGGCAAAGAUCAGCAGGUGCAUCGAGGAUUUUGUGGCCAGCGAUAUCAGACAGGGGUUUGAGAGCAGUUUUAUCAAUCAUCAUCUCAUCAGACUGAAGCGCUCCAGGUUCUGAGGUGAUGAUAAGAUCAGAGGCUUGAGAUGCCACUGUUUUUUUUAAAAAAAUUUGACGAGUAGACUUGGAGACUGGUGUGGAAGAGCUUGAGGGCUUCUUUCCUUGGGACUUAGCCGUUAUGGGAGGAUCAGUUGAAGGAGGGGGAGUGUACUGGAGAUAGUUUCGGAUUAUGUGACCCAGUUCGUGACAAUGAGUGCAAGUUGGUGGUACCCACGGAUAGUGCACCGAAACUUCCACUACUUCUCCGCUUUCUCUUUCAAAUUCAACAACGGAAGGAAGAGGCUUUGUGAGGUCAACUUCUACCUUGACAUGAGAAACAGUCAAGCUAACCAUAUUUUUCGUAAAAUCAUCUGUCUCUUUGGGUUCUCCCACGAGACCUACUACCAAGCUCAACCCCGCAUUGUAUAUGAGAUCGAGAGGAACACCAGUGAGGUGGGCCCAUAUUUUAAUAGCUUUCAAAGGGGGUGUAGCAGAGGAGUGUUCCGACGACCACUGAGCGGUGUGGAACAUAGAGUACCCAACAUACCAAAUGUUUUUUUCGAGAAUUUUCUUGCGGAGAUAUUCACUUGGGAUUCUCACAAGAGUAGUACGGUUGAGAGGUUUAUUAUUGAUUUCCAGCCUCUGUCCCUUUCCCCACAUGUGGUUAAACACACUUUGAAUUUGGUUGAAAGGAGGAGUUUUGCCGUUGAAGUAACAAAUGAUGAAAUCUUUGUGGAUUUCAGCUCCUGCUUUGAAGACUGAAUCCAGAAUCAAGAUUCUUGGUCUACCUGACGGAGAAAUGGUUACUGGAGCUAGUCUUCUCAAGGUUUUAUCUUCAGCAGCUCUGAAUCUCUCCACAAGUGAAGGUACAUGAACAGGUGCUGGAGCAUUUUUUGUAGAUGGGAGAGUGUGGUCAGUAGGGGAGAUGAGAAUAGGGUCGGCGGUGGGUGGGGCUUGAGUUGAAACAGUCGGGGGAGUGGGGGGGGGAAUAAUCGUGGUUACUGGAGGGAGCAGGGUUUGAGGAACUUUCCUGCAGGUGAACUAAUGGAGUUGAGGCUUUGUUGGUGUUUAUGGGAGAAGGGGAUUUAGGUGGGUUGAUUCUGAAAGUUUGGGGGUUGUUUUCUUGUGGGAGGGUUUGGACUGUAGCUGGAACAGUAGAUCUGAGAGUGUGGGGUUCAAAAGUGAUGGUAUUUGAAGCUUUGACAACAGUUUUUUGGUUUUCAGAUACUCCUUGAACUGAGGUACCUUCAGUAGUAACAGGUUGAAGCAGAUUUGCAACAACAAUAGAAGAAUUUUUCAGGAAUUUAAAACCAGUUUUCUUAGAAGAUAAUGGUUUUGAACCAGUUGAGAGAGGAGGGAAUUGGUGGGGUGAUAAAGGAGAGUCAGGGUCGGGAGGGUCAGGGGGAACGGGAAGCGGGGGUGAGGGCUCACUGGAGGUGAGCGGCGGAGGGUUCAGGGCGGAAGCUUUGCCGGGGACAUUCCAAACACUCUUCAUCGGGAAAAGAGCCAGAGAGAAUUUGACUUUUAAUAGCAGAUCCGUUUUCCCUAUCAAUAUUUUAUCAAUUUGAGUAGAUCUAGUUAUAUAAAAUAUAUUGACAUUAACGUGUUUUAUUGUUUUCCGCUCAAUUUUUUAAAAAAAUUGUUUGUAGUUU